GCGGGCGUGGUUUGUUCUCAUGCCCGUUGCCCAGUACGUUUUCCCGGAUUGUUCCAGUCCCUCGAAAAACUGGCUCCACUACUACCUUUUGGACACCCGGAGUUACUCCCUGAAAUUGGCUCUCGUCCUUCUCUCGACUCCAGUCGCCCUAGGAGCUUGCCCCCAGGUGUCGGGUUCUUCGCUCCAGCGGCAAUGACUGAGCAGAGGCCAUCACAAAAACCUGAGAUGGUGCUUGAACGCGGUGGAAUAGGGAUCCAUAACCGGCCUGCAGGCCAAGAUCAGGAAGAGCUGUUUCUGCACACUCCCUCCGGCCAAGAAUGGUUUGUGCAGCAGUGACGGAUUGUAAAAAACAAAAAACAAAAGGAAAGAAGAAUAUGUGACAGAAUCCUUAUGUGCCCACAAAUAAAAUAUUUAACUGGC
Long non-coding RNA from Neogale vison (American mink), 420 nucleotides. RefSeq lists it as uncharacterized. The record is from RefSeq and is a predicted model, not a curated record. The transcript has 2 exons. NCBI's taxonomy places the organism in Eukaryota, Metazoa, Chordata, Mammalia, Carnivora, Mustelidae.